UCCACAUCAUCAUCUUUCUUACUGUAAACAAGAGAGAGAAAAGCUCAUCACUCAUACUCUCUCUCUCUCUCACUCACACACACACACUCUCACACACACACAGUCACACACACACACACUCUCUCACACACACACACACACACACACACCCCUUCGUUAGCCAUCAUCCAUGGCGGCAUUUGGAGUGAGCGGUGUUGGUAUUGGCUCCAGCUUUUCUCAAUUCCUGCAACCAAUUUCAAUUUUCAAGUCCAAAUGCAGAAGAACAACAACCUCAACAACAACAACUGUUUUCUCGCCGGAUUUCCAACAAUGGCUCCCAACCCUCCUCCAACG
This 333-nucleotide long non-coding RNA is filed under the name Erythranthe guttata (spotted monkey flower). RNAcentral's name for it is "long non-coding RNA (EGUT_LNC002800)". Lineage: Eukaryota; Viridiplantae; Streptophyta; Magnoliopsida; Lamiales; Phrymaceae. The record is from RNAcentral.